This 497-nucleotide ribosomal RNA is filed under the name uncultured bacterium. RNAcentral describes it as "partial 16S ribosomal RNA". It matches the Rfam family "Bacterial small subunit ribosomal RNA", at positions 28 to 507 of the family's 1533-position model. The record is from RNAcentral.
GAUGAACGCUGGCGGCGUGCCUAAUACAUGCAAGUCGAGCGAACAGAUGAGGAGCUUGCUCCUCUGACGUUAGCGGCGGACGGGUGAGUAACACGUGGAUAACCUACCUAUAAGACUGGGAUAACUUCGGGAAACGGGCGCUAAUACCGGAUAAUAUAUUGAACCGCAUGGUUCAAUAGUGAAAGACGGUUUUGCUGUCACUUAUAGAUGGAUCCGCGCCGCAUUAGCUAGUUGGUAAAGUAACGGCGUACCAAGGCAACGAUGCGUAGCCGACCUGAGAGGGUGGUCGGCCACACUGGAACUGAGACACGGUCCAUACUCCUACGGGAGGCAGCAGUAGGGAAUCGUACGCAAUGGGCGAAAGCCUGACGGAGCAACGCCGCGUGAGUGAUGACGGUCUUCGGAUCGUAAAACUCUGUUAUUAGUGAAGAACAAAUGUGUAAUUAACUAUGCACGUAUUGACGGUAACUAAUCAGAAAGCCACGGCUAACUACGUG